Molecule: long non-coding RNA, 198 nt
Organism: Homo sapiens (human)
Lineage: Eukaryota; Metazoa; Chordata; Mammalia; Primates; Hominidae
Exons: 2
Source: RefSeq, a predicted model, not a curated record
CAGAUGCCCUGUGGCGCUCAGUGCAUGCUGCUCUCCCUUCUCCUCUCUGGUCGCCCUUGGAAUGAGCCUCUUCUGAUCCCAAAGUGCAGUUGAUACCUCAAACCCUUUGGAUGGAGGGAAAAUUUGAAACUGCAACGAGAUGGAUAGAACUAUUUGAUGCUGCAGUUUUCUAAAGUAUCCAUAAAAACUAGUCCGGGG